Molecule: ribosomal RNA, 497 nt
Filed under: uncultured bacterium
Lineage: Bacteria
Description: partial 16S ribosomal RNA
Rfam family: Bacterial small subunit ribosomal RNA
Source: RNAcentral
GAUGAACGCUGGCGGCGUGCCUAAUACAUGCAAGUCGAGCGAACAGACGAGGAGCUUGCUCCUCUGACGUUAGCGGCGGACGGGUGAGUAACACGUGGAUAACCUACCUAUAAGACUGGGAUAACUUCGGGAAACCGGAGCUAAUACCGGAUAAUAUAUUGAACCGCAUGGUUCCUUAGUGACAGACGGUUUUGCUGUCACUUAUACAUGGAUCCGCGCCUCAUUAGCUAGUUGGUAAGGUAACGGCUUACCAAGGCAACGAUGCGUAGCCGACCUGAGAGGGUGAGCGGCCACACUGGAACUGAGACACGGACCAGACUCCUACGGGAGGCAGCAGUAGGGAAUCUUACGGAAUGGGCGAAAGCCUGACGGAGCAACGCCGAGUGAGUGAUGAAGGUCUUCGGAGCGUAAAACUAUGGUAUUAGGGAAGAACAAAUGUGUAAGUAACUAUGCACGUCUUGACGGUACCGAAUCAGAAAGCCGCGGCUAACUACGUG